UGCCCAUUAGAGGGGGAUAACAUCCGGAAACGGAUGCUAAAACCGCAUAGGUCUUCGAGCCGCAUGGCUUGAAGAGGAAAAGAGGCGCAAGCUUCUGCUGAUGGAUGGACCCGCGGUGCAUUAGCUAGUUGGUGAGGUAACGGCUCACCAAGGCCGUGAUGCAUAGCCGACCUGAGAGGGUGAUCGGCCACAUUGGGACUGAGACACGGCCCAAACUCCUACGGGAGGCAGCAGUAGGGAAUCUUCCGCAAUGGACGCAAGUCUGACGGAGCAACGCCGCGUGAGUGAAGAAGGUUUUCGGAUCGUAAAACUCUGUUGNUAGAGAAGAACAAGUGCUAGAGUAACUGUUA
RNAcentral lists this ribosomal RNA (350 nucleotides) under uncultured bacterium. RNAcentral's name for it is "bacterial SSU rRNA". It matches the Rfam family "Bacterial small subunit ribosomal RNA", at positions 127 to 471 of the family's 1533-position model. The record is from RNAcentral.